UACGUAGGGUGCGAGCGUUAAUCGGAAUUACUGGGCGUAAAGUGUGCGCAGGCGGCCGCGCAAGUCGAGUGUGAAAGCCCCGGGCUUAACUUGGGAAUUGCGCUCGAAACUACGUGGCUGGAGUGUGGCAGAGGAAGGUGGAAUUCCAGGUGUAGCGGUGAAAUGCGUAGAGAUCUGGAGGAACACCGAUGGCGAAGGCAGGUCUCUGGGCUGACACUGACGCUCAUGCACGAAAGCGUGGGGAGCAAACAGG
Molecule: ribosomal RNA, 253 nt
Filed under: uncultured bacterium
Lineage: Bacteria
Description: partial 16S ribosomal RNA
Rfam family: Bacterial small subunit ribosomal RNA
Source: RNAcentral